Molecule: long non-coding RNA, 882 nt
Organism: Fundulus heteroclitus (mummichog)
Lineage: Eukaryota; Metazoa; Chordata; Actinopteri; Cyprinodontiformes; Fundulidae
Exons: 3
Source: RefSeq, a predicted model, not a curated record
CAUUAAAAAUUCUAUUGGAUCCAACACUGAACAAUCAACACCAACAUCAUCACAUAUCAGAGUUCUGAUUACCCCGUAUGUUCCUAACAGAGCACAACUUCACUAUAACUGCUGCAAACCUGGGAGGACCGCAACUGGAUGCGAACAAUUCCUAACAGAUACCAGCCCAUUAUCUGAGGUUGUCCUUGAAACCAAACAGGAGAUACAAAAAUUAAACCAGACAUGGAGUUACUAAUAAAAUAUUUAUUUAAAUGCAAAAAUUUGGAUGCAGGAACCUCUGCAGAAGUAAGCUAGAAACAUGUCAAUGAUGAGAGCUGGCUUACUCUGUGUCACACAGGAUGGUUGAAGCUUGAACAAAGUCCUGGGGACAUGCAAGAGUCACGCAUGGAUAAUUGGAGACAGGUAGACAAGUUCAGGGGUGAUCCAGAAAUGUGGUCACAGUCUAGAGAUCACAAGCUUGGUAGAAUGGCAAAGCAAGGCUGUCAUGUUCCAUGUUUCUAUGUAGUAUUUGCCUGACCUCCUCCUUCCUCAGGGUGUGACAGGCAGGUCUGAUCCCCAGCUGUGCCUCAUCAGAGAAUUGGUGAGGGUUUAAAAGAAGAGCGGAAUCCUGAAGCAGACGCCAGAUGGUCAAAUCACAUCCUGUGACUCAUUGUUCUUCCUGGACUGUACCUGAGCCGCACGCUAGAGCAAGCGGACUGCUUCGUCCCCUCUCCUCCAUCUGCACCAUACGCUGACGCUUAUCUGAAGGCUCCUCUGACCCGUCGCCUGUCUGUCCACCCGCCAACGUUUCCUCACUACCGGAAAAUGCGGAACUGGACUUCCUUCCCCUGCAAUCGCCCGCCUCUUAUUAUUUCCAAUAAACCCUUUUGAACCCACUACUGG